Molecule: long non-coding RNA, 492 nt
Organism: Hemicordylus capensis (graceful crag lizard)
Lineage: Eukaryota; Metazoa; Chordata; Lepidosauria; Squamata; Cordylidae
Exons: 4
Source: RefSeq, a predicted model, not a curated record
GCCUCUAUAAAGAUUGUAAGCUUAAAUAGGAGGAAAGUUGAAUAAUUGUGGUCUCUGAUGAAGGAUCAGGAUCAUCCGAAAUGGGCUUAAGAAUCCCGGGCCUGCUUACAAUACAAUUACAAGCGCCUGUAAGCAAUGAAAACAGGAAAAAUGUUUUGCUGAGAGCUGGUUUCAGGGAUUGACAAGCAUAUUACAAAACUUCAAUCAACAAAAAAGCACUACCUCCAAUUUCCUGUAUAAUAUAGAAAUAUUUAUUAUUAUUAUUAUUAUUAUUAUUAUUAUUAAUGAAUUGUAAUAAAUGUCUGUGACUUAUUUUUUUAAAGACCACAAUGUGGCAGCAUAGUACAAAACUACAUUUAUAUAUAGCAUGGGAAAGAAAAAAGUAUAUAAAUAUUGUAACCAGAACUUUUCAACAUUUUGGAUUCCCAAAGUUAAAAAAACGGGCCAGAUUUCUUAAAAAAACAAGAAAAUAAAUUGCUAAUUAAUAAAAAA